RNAcentral lists this ribosomal RNA (251 nucleotides) under uncultured bacterium. RNAcentral describes it as "partial 16S ribosomal RNA". It matches the Rfam family "Bacterial small subunit ribosomal RNA", at positions 72 to 339 of the family's 1533-position model. The record is from RNAcentral.
CCCAUCCUUCGGGAUGGUGUCCUAGUGGCGCACGGGUGCGUAACACGUGGGAAUGUACCCUCAGGUACGGGAUAACGCAGGGAAACUUGUGCUAAUACCGCAUAAUGGCUCCGGCCCAAAGCUCCGGCGCCUGAGGAUCAGCCCGCGUCUGAUUAGCUAGUUGGUGAGGUAAUGGCUCACCAAGGCGACGAUCAGUAGCUGGUCUGAGAGGAUGAUCAGCCACACUGGAACUGAGACACGGUCCAGACUCC